UCCUCCUUAGCUCAUCUGGGAGAGCGUAGCACUGAAGAUGCUAAGGCACCGCGUUCGAUCCGCGGAGGGGGCA
Transfer RNA from Gonapodya prolifera JEL478, 73 nucleotides. It matches the Rfam family "tRNA". Rfam says of the family: Transfer RNA (tRNA) molecules are approximately 80 nucleotides in length. Their secondary structure includes four short double-helical elements and three loops (D, anti-codon, and T loops). Further hydrogen bonds mediate the characteristic L-shaped molecular structure. tRNAs have two regions of fundamental functional importance: the anti-codon, which is responsible for specific mRNA codon recognition, and the 3' end, to which the tRNAs corresponding amino acid is attached (by aminoacyl-tRNA synthetases). tRNAs cope with the degeneracy of the genetic code in two manners: having more than one tRNA (with a specific anti-codon) for a particular amino acid; and 'wobble' base-pairing, i.e. permitting non-standard base-pairing at the 3rd anti-codon position. NCBI's taxonomy places the organism in Eukaryota, Fungi, Monoblepharomycota, Monoblepharidomycetes, Monoblepharidales, Gonapodyaceae. The record is from Rfam.